UGGGGAAUAUUGCACAAUGGGCGCAAGCCUGAUGCAGCCAUGCCGCGUGUAUGAAGAAGGCCUUCGGGUUGUAAAAUACUUUCAGCGGGGAGGAAGGGAGUAAAGUUAAUACCUUUGCUCAUUGACGUUACCCGCAGAAGAAGCACCGGCUAACUCCGUGCCAGCAGCCGCGGUAAUACGGAGGGUGCAAGCGUUAAUCGGAAUUACUGGGCGUAAAGCGCACGCAGGCGGUUUGUUAAGUCAGAUGUGAAAUCCCCGGGCUCAACCUGGGAACUGCAUCUGAUACUGGCAAGCUUGAGUCUCGUAGAGGGGGGUAGAAUUCCAGGUGUAGCGGUGAAAUGCGUAGAGAUCUGGAGGAAUACCGGUGGCGAAGGCGGCCCCCUGGACGAAGACUGACGCUCAGGUGCGAAAGCGUGGGGAGCAAACAGG
RNAcentral lists this ribosomal RNA (429 nucleotides) under Fusobacteriota bacterium. Its description in RNAcentral is "Fusobacteria bacterium partial 16S ribosomal RNA". It matches the Rfam family "Bacterial small subunit ribosomal RNA", at positions 355 to 776 of the family's 1533-position model. The record is from RNAcentral. Lineage: Bacteria; Fusobacteriati; Fusobacteriota.